This 482-nucleotide non-coding RNA is filed under the name Ricinus communis (castor bean). RNAcentral describes it as "Bacterial small subunit ribosomal RNA". It matches the Rfam family "Bacterial small subunit ribosomal RNA", at positions 594 to 947 of the family's 1533-position model. Lineage: Eukaryota; Viridiplantae; Streptophyta; Magnoliopsida; Malpighiales; Euphorbiaceae. The record is from Rfam by way of RNAcentral.
GCCCACGCGAAAUUAACCUUGUUUUCGUUAAGGAAUCAUGGGAGACAAGCUUCAAUAGUCGCAUUAGAGUGUGACAUGAUGAUCAAGAAGGACGAGAUGCAAAUCCAAGCGUGCAAUGGAGAAAUCAUGUUGAUUUUAAUUAAUCUAGACGCACAGGCGGUGGAAACUACCAAGCUGGAGUACGGUAGGGGCAGAGGGAAUUUCCAAUGGAGCGGUGAAAUGCGUAGAGAUCGGAAAGAACACCAACGGCGAAAGCACUCCGCUGGGCCGACACUGACACUGAUAGACAAAAGGUAGGGGAGCGAAUAGGAUUAGAUACCCCAGUAGUCCUAGCCGUAAAUGAUGGAUACUGGGCGCUGUGCGUAUCGACCCGUGCAGUUGCUAUAGCUAACGCGUUAAGUUUCACUCCUAGGGAGUACAUUCGCAAGAAUGAUGAGAAUGCAAACAUUUGGAUGUUUGGGAUGCAUGUAAUGAUGUAAUUU